AGGAGCCGUGUGCGGUGAAAAUCGUAAGUACGGUUCUGAAUGUGAGGUGAGGGUUGUAAAGCCCUCAUCGACCCCUAAU
Molecule: non-coding RNA, 79 nt
Organism: Planktothrix tepida PCC 9214
Lineage: Bacteria; Bacillati; Cyanobacteriota; Cyanophyceae; Oscillatoriales; Microcoleaceae
Source: Rfam